AUUGUAAACAAUAUUAUUAAUACUCAAAUUAUCAAAAUUAUCAAAAUUAUCAAUGUCUGUCAUUUUAUGAGUAGUUUUCAGCUUUCGCCUUAAAUAUCGGAGUCGAACAGUUAUUCGUCAGUGUAGUCUCGUCGGUGUGAUCCAGAUAGGAGUGCUUCCAAAGCCAACCAGGCUCAGCUACUCAGGAGAAACGCUAACUCAAAAGACAGCUCAACA
This 216-nucleotide long non-coding RNA is filed under the name Mytilus galloprovincialis (Mediterranean mussel). Lineage: Eukaryota; Metazoa; Mollusca; Bivalvia; Mytilida; Mytilidae. The record is from RNAcentral.